UCCAGCUUAUCGCUGGCGGUCUCCUGCGAGUUCCGCCUUUCGGCAUGGCAACACAGGACAAGGGUUGCGCUCGUUGCGGGACUUAACCCAACAUCUCACGACACGAGCUGACGACAGCCAUGCAGCAUCUGUGCAGGAACUCCGAAGAGGGGCUCACGUUUCUGCGAGCUUUCUCCUGCAUGUCAAACCCAGGUAAGGUUCUUCGCGUUGCGUCGAAUUAAACCACAUGCUCCACCGCUUGUGCGGGCCCCCGUCAAUUCCUUUGAGUUUCAGCCUUGCGGCCGUACUCCCCAGGCGGGGCACUUCAUGCGUUAGCGACGGCACUCAGGGGGUCGCUCCCCCAAGCACCUAGUGCCCAUCGUUUACGGCGUGGACUAC
RNAcentral lists this unclassified non-coding RNA (378 nucleotides) under uncultured Gemmatimonadaceae bacterium. Its description in RNAcentral is "contains 16S-23S intergenic spacer region". Lineage: Bacteria; Pseudomonadati; Gemmatimonadota; Gemmatimonadia; Gemmatimonadales; Gemmatimonadaceae. The record is from RNAcentral.